AUGUGACCACUUUUUCCAUAAAUGGACUAAAAGAAGUGUUAUCACAUAAAUUGAGACAGAAAAAAUAAUUAAUUAGUCGAGGUCGUGGGGUUGACCCCUUUGAUGAUAUCUGUGUGGUUGUAUAUAAAUAUUGUUGUUAUAGUAUUUCUUUACAACAAACAUAUAUUUAUCUUAGUGAUAAUUUGAAGGAGUUUAGAAUCAAGGAUGAGUGAUCCACCAAAGUAUGCACACCCCUACCCUGCUCAAGGUUAUUAUCAAGGUCCUCCAGUGAUGCCUCCACCACCUCAAUAUUAUUAUGCAGCUCCUCCUCCAAGAAGGGAACCUGGCUUUCUUGAGGGAUGUCUGGCAGCUUUGUGUUGCUGUUUCCUGAUUGAUGAGUGUUGCUGUGACCCUUCUAUCCUCUUCAUCUGUUGAUAAAAUAUUUUAUUUCUCUCGGAUAUAUAAUAUUAGUACUAUUGUAUUUGUAUUAUUAGAUAGAUCUCUCGGAAUGUUACUCUUUGUUCAUUGCUUCAAAGUUGAUUGUUUCGGGUUUUUAUUAUAUUUGAGUUUUAAUUU
Molecule: long non-coding RNA, 555 nt
Organism: Solanum lycopersicum (tomato)
Lineage: Eukaryota; Viridiplantae; Streptophyta; Magnoliopsida; Solanales; Solanaceae
Source: RefSeq, a predicted model, not a curated record